Small nucleolar RNA from Scatophagus argus, 131 nucleotides. RefSeq annotates it as small nucleolar RNA ACA64. The transcript has a single exon. Lineage: Eukaryota; Metazoa; Chordata; Actinopteri; Scatophagidae. The record is from RefSeq and is a predicted model, not a curated record.
ACAGACUGAAAAUGGCCCCGGGUGUGUCAGUGAUCUGGGGUCAGAUAACUGUGCCGACACUACCGUGGUGCAUAAAGCUUAUCGCGUGCGUCUUUCGGUGGCCGCGUGAUAAAACCCAUGCACCGACAUGC